UAAGCUGCUGGGAAUCUCGGAGAACACUACAGCACUUAAAAUGGCAGCUCCUGUCUGUGGACACCCUUGAUGUCUAGAAGCUGACUAAGGCUAGGGUUCUGUUGCUCCUUGGCUAAGGGCACCACUUUCAGAUAAAAACAUAGACCUGAAUGGCAUCAUCCAGUAUCCAAGGAAACCAUGAUGAGGACUUCUAAGUACUUUUAGAAUGGAUGUAUAGAUAAUGCAGCUUAUAAACUGAUGAAGAGGAAAAGGCUGAAGAGAAAUGGAAGUAUAAUAUAGCCCAAGUCAUUGACUCAUUCGUCAUACAGUGAAUGAAUUCCUAUUGUGUGUCAAAGGCUAUGAGAAGUGAUACACAAGAGGUAAAUCAAGGUGACUCUGGAUAGAGACAAGAAAAAGGUACUUACACUUCAGCCAAAUCAAACAUAAGACAUUUAGAGGAAGAAAGGAGGCGAUGGUGCCAAAAUUUGGCAUUCUAGGAUGUUACAGCAGAAAAAAGAAAAUGAGAAUGCACAAAAUCUUCACACUAGACUCUUCCCUGGUCCAAGUUGUGGGUGAUGCUGCAGGUUCCAGGAGACUGUGAUCAAAUUUCAGCCUGAAAUUUUGGAGCUUACUCAUCAGAGGAGAAAUAUCACGAGCUAUUUGCUCUCUGUGCUGUAACAUAGCUCUGGCAAGCCUGGAAGUUAUGUUGAGAUCGUCAAAUCUAUAGUCCAGGACCAUCUUUGUGAAUCAUGAAACCAUAUGCCACUGGUUGUCUGAUUUGAAAAGGAAACCAACAAAAAACCCCAAUUCUGCACCAACAAAGCCGGUGAUAAGAUCAGACCAUGCCAAGGGCCAUUUGACCAUCUUAUACCUUCUGAAUCUGCAUUUAAAAAAAAAAAAUCUUUGCUACUGUUUGAACCAUGUAAAAUACCAGAACUCCUGUAGUGCUAACAAGGAAUAAAGAUCUUGCACCAGAUGGUGCCUCUUGUCUCCAUCUAUCUCUAGCCCAAACAAUCUGCCAGAGUUUUGAAGAAAAAGGCGAUGUGAUCAUGUUGCAAAGUAUAUGAAGAAACAGUAUGAAAAGUAAUCUGGCUGAAACGAUGGAAUCCAGAAGGAAGUGAAUGAUUAUUAUCAGUCUUUGAGCCUGUGGAUGAGGGCAAUGCUAUCUGCAUUUUAGUUCAUAAAAAAAUGGCAUGCUUAAGUAUAACUGUAAGAUAAGGAAAACACCUGCAAUGAGAAGAUACUGAAUUUGAAGGACUCAGAGGCCCUUUGGUGUGGCACAACUUCAAGAGAAGAAAGCCUCAAUCCUUGAAUUAUUGUGAAGAAGAUAUUUACACUACAGCUAUAUAAGACUGUUACACGAGAGAUAAGUAAACCUAUUUAUUAUGUCAUCAAAGUUUGAAAUAUACCUAUUCCAUUAAUUAGUGUUACCUUAAUAAGAACACAUACUUCACAGAUUAAACUUUCCUUUCUCUUUCUGUUUCUUCUGUUGCUAUCUCAGCAGUGGGAGAAAGAAUAAUUGUACCAACUGGUUGAGGAUUAACUUUGUCUUGCAAUGGCAAGUUUCAUUACCCAUCCAUGUAUAUUACCACCACAUAUCUCAAGUGUUCUUCCUUUCUGGUCUCAUUAUUAUAACUAUACUCUAGACUUCUUUUAUUUGAACUUUCAAUGCAGCAAGACCUUCUUAACUAGACUCGGAGCCCUUAUAAUGCUCCUCUUCUAAUUCUUGCCAUGUGAUAAGAAUCAUCUGUUCAGAAAACCCCUAAGGCCUGCUAACUAUCUAAAGUAGCAGUAAAUAACUAGAGGUGCUAGGAUGCCUGUGACCUCUAAACAUAUCUUGCAUUGCUGAUGAGAUGUGCUUAUUUUUUUUUAAUGUUGUUGUCACUCUUCAAAAAUUGAGAUAGUAAGCAUUUUAGAUUUCUCCUCUUGACAAAUGAAUCAUCUGGCAGAAUUAGUUCACUAUUCUCACCUGGUAGCUCUCAGCUACAACAAAGCAUGCACUCUACAAUUUGUCCUUAUCCUCACCUGUAUUAUUCAGGGUUCUUCAGCAAAACAGAAUUAAUUGGGUGCAUUCAUAUAUACUUCAUGCAUGCAUGUGUGUCUGUUCAUGUGUGUAUGUGUGUGUGCACAUGGGGGAAGGAGGGAGAGAGGUACAGGGAGAGAGAUAGAUGAAGAGAGAGAGAGAGCAAGAGGAAGGAGGGAAAGACAAACAGGGAGAGAGAAAGAUGAAGAGAAAGAGAGAGGCUAUAUGAAAUUGGUUUAUGCAGUUAGAGGCUGACAAAUUCCAAAUACGCAGUCAGGAAGCUGGAAAAUCAGGAGGUCCUAUGGUGUAAGUUACAGUGUAGAAGUCAACAGGCAAAAAUGUCAACUGUAUGAAUAAAAGUAUACUGAUUAAGCUAUAAUAAUCAAGAUAAGGUGUAUUUAGGAAGAAUGUAAUUUUUAACAUAUUAAUUUUAUUGGACUAAUGUUUGUUUUUUCCCUACCAUGUGCCAGGUACUGUGCCAAAUGCUAUGUACAUUAUCUCAAUUUAUCAUAGAGCAACUCUUUGAAGAAGCUACUAUGAUUAGCAACAUUUUGCUGAUGAGGAAACAAAGACUUAGAGAGAUUAGGUAAUUUGCCUGUGGUCCCAAAGCUAGGACAUGACUAAAUUGCAAUCCAAAUUUAGGAAAACCGCCUACAGAACUCAAAGCUCUUACUAAAACACCAUUCUAGAUUGUUUUCCCAGGUUUAUGUAUACUUAUAAAUAAAGCAAAAGAUAAGUCAAAAUGUCAGUAAAUUUCACUAAGUACAGCUAACCAAAGAGCAGAGUAUUUACAAAGUGAAUAGCUAGUGUUAUUAAAUGAGGGGAAUUGAAUAAAAGUCAGGAAGCAAUACAAUUCCAAGGCAACAAGAGAUACUUAAAAACACAGCAUACAGUCAUCAGCACAUAAGUUUGGACACAAUGGAAGAGAAGAUAGCUAACACUAGAGAAAAUUCCUAAUUACAGAGUAGAUGUUGUUGUCUUAGUACUUAUGAAUUAUUGGUGUAGUUUCUGCUGCAGUAGUUCCCAAAGAUUCCCUAAUAACCUUCAUAAAUUAAAAAAGUCAAACACAUUGAAGCAUCGGAUCCUAUAGUGAGUUACUACACUACUUUUGGUCCACUGUAGGUACUCGAAAUAUUUGAGGGAGGAAAGGAAAGAAGGAAAGGAGAGAGAGAGAGAGAGAGAGAGAGAGAGAGAGAGA
Molecule: non-coding RNA, 3200 nt
Organism: Castor canadensis (American beaver)
Lineage: Eukaryota; Metazoa; Chordata; Mammalia; Rodentia; Castoridae
Source: RefSeq, a predicted model, not a curated record